UCUGUUACGCCACUGUAAAGUAGAGUCGAUAAAACAGGAAUCGGUAAUCAGCUGCCGGCCGCAGUUAAAAGCCACGUACGAGGUUAAGCCCACUGUAAACCAAAUUUUCAAAGGAAAAUUAGCAAUUUCCAGUUAUUUAGCGUGAAAAACACAAACGAUCAACAAUGAUAACCGACGUACACCUAGCUGUCCUCGCCAACGCGUUGGGAGUAACGUUAUUUUUGCUGGUGCUGCUCUACCAUUACAUCAAUGCAAAUUACUCGAAAUAGUCUAUUAUUGUGUUAUAAUAUAAUGUUUAUAUCCUUUUUACGUAUUACCAGCAACUGAAAUGUAUGAUUAAAGUACUUUUGUGGCUUA
Long non-coding RNA from Photinus pyralis (common eastern firefly), 357 nucleotides. RefSeq lists it as uncharacterized. The record is from RefSeq and is a predicted model, not a curated record. Lineage: Eukaryota; Metazoa; Arthropoda; Insecta; Coleoptera; Lampyridae. The transcript is spliced from 2 exons.